RNAcentral lists this long non-coding RNA (238 nucleotides) under Manihot esculenta (cassava). Its description in RNAcentral is "long non-coding RNA (MESC_LNC011797)". Lineage: Eukaryota; Viridiplantae; Streptophyta; Magnoliopsida; Malpighiales; Euphorbiaceae. The record is from RNAcentral.
UGAAGACGACCUCUGACCCGUUCUGAUCUCUGAACCUGACUACCUUGUCCCUGCAGUCCAAGGUAGCACCAUGGGUAGAUAGCCAAUCCAUCCCUAGAAUGACGUCAAAGUCUGUCAAAUCUAGAACCACAAGGUCGGCGGAGAGGCAUCUUCCCUCAACAAAAACUGGACUGAACCGGCAGACUGACACUGCCACUGACGGGUCACACUUGGGUCCACUGACCCAUAGGGGACACUC